ACGCUCGACACCUAGGAGGCAGCAGUGGGGAAUAUUGCACAAUGGGGGAAACCCUGAUGCAGCGACGCCGCGUGGAGGAAGAAGGUCUUCGGAUUGUAAACUCCUGUUGUUGGGGAAAAAGAGGAUGGUACCCAACAAGGAAGUGACGGCUAACUACGUGCCAGCAGCCGCGGUAAUCUGAGCGGGCUGGCAAGGC
RNAcentral lists this ribosomal RNA (196 nucleotides) under uncultured bacterium. RNAcentral's name for it is "partial 16S ribosomal RNA". It matches the Rfam family "Bacterial small subunit ribosomal RNA", at positions 328 to 539 of the family's 1533-position model. The record is from RNAcentral.